This is a long non-coding RNA of Zerene cesonia (dogface butterfly), 431 nucleotides long. RefSeq lists it as uncharacterized. Lineage: Eukaryota; Metazoa; Arthropoda; Insecta; Lepidoptera; Pieridae. The transcript has 2 exons. The record is from RefSeq and is a predicted model, not a curated record.
CAGCUACUCCUUGCUUUAGAAAAAUAUCGUUGUCUAUGCUAAACUGCAAAUGUGCAACAUUCGUACAAAAAAAAAACAAAUGCCCCAUAAGUGUCCGCCCCAGUGAAUGGUAUGGAUCUUGAGCAUAUUUUAAACUGGCCGUCGACUCCCGAGGAAGAAAACUUCCUUAAUGCCAUCCUCGAGUCUUUGACUAAGUACGCUGAGGAUGGGACUCGGUAUGUGGACGCCGAAGCUGUGAUAGCGGUUGUCCAUCGAAUUUGGGCUUGACAAGGACUUAUAUAAAGACAAAAUGCACCAAAUGCGCUAAAUUUGGCCGCAUCCUACCUGCUUUCAAUAUGUUUGCAAUCUUUUCCUUCUUAGAAUUGUUAGAUAUACAUACACUGUUUGGCUUAGCAUCUAAAUUUUAAUUUUAAUAUAUUGCAAUGUGAAAA